This 826-nucleotide ribosomal RNA is filed under the name uncultured bacterium. RNAcentral describes it as "bacterial SSU rRNA". It matches the Rfam family "Bacterial small subunit ribosomal RNA", at positions 69 to 883 of the family's 1533-position model. The record is from RNAcentral.
AUUGACGAUGGAUCACCAGUGAGUGGCGGACGGGUGAGUAACACGUAGGUAACCUGCCCCGGAGCGGGGGAUAACAUUUGGAAACAGAUGCUAAUACCGCAUAACAACAAAAGCCACAUGGCUUUUCUUUGAAAGAUGGCUUUGGCUAUCACUCUGGGAUGGACCUGCGGUGCAUUAGCUAGUUGGUAAGGUAACGGCUUACCAAGGCGAUGAUGCAUAGCCGAGUUGAGAGACUGAUCGGCCACAAUGGAACUGAGACACGGUCCAUACUCCUACGGGAGGCAGCAGUAGGGAAUCUUCCACAAUGGGCGCAAGCCUGAUGGAGCAACACCGCGUGAGUGAAGAAGGGUUUCGGCUCGUAAAGCUCUGUUGUUGGAGAAGAACGUGCGUGAGAGUAACUGUUCACGCAGUGACGGUAUCCAACCAGAAAGUCACGGCUAACUACGUGCCAGCAGCCGCGGUAAUACGUAGGUGGCAAGCGUUAUCCGGAUUUAUUGGGCGUAAAGCGAGCGCAGGCGGUUGCUUAGGUCUGAUGUGAAAGCCUUCGGCUUAACCGAAGAAGUGCAUCGGAAACCGGGCGACUUGAGUGCAGAAGAGGACAGUGGAACUCCAUGUGUAGCGGUGGAAUGCGUAGAUAUAUGGAAGAACACCAGUGGCGAAGGCGGCUGUCUGGUCUGCAACUGACGCUGAGGCUCGAAAGCAUGGGUAGCGAACAGGAUUAGAUACCCUGGUAGUCCAUGCCGUAAACGAUGAGUGCUAGGUGUUGGAGGGUUUCCGCCCUUCAGUGCCGGAGCUAACGCAUUAAGCACUCCGCCCUGGGGAGUAC